Molecule: long non-coding RNA, 287 nt
Filed under: Ananas comosus (pineapple)
Lineage: Eukaryota; Viridiplantae; Streptophyta; Magnoliopsida; Poales; Bromeliaceae
Description: long non-coding RNA (ACOM_LNC016746)
Source: RNAcentral
CAACACUCAACCCUUAUUCGGGUCGAUUGCCAACACCAACCAUUCCAUUUACCCCGCAACACACUAUUACGUCUGGUAGGAACCUCCACAACCAACACCUCCCUACAAGGUUGACCAAAAGACCUCGAAAUUACAAUCGCAACUAUCUCGAGUCGCCGAAAACUUGAUCGACCACCCGACCCAUUCAUCAGUCGCAUCAUCCUUCAUCUCACAACCAAGCGAUCCGCGCUCAUCUCGCGCACAACAACAGCUCCUCGUCUUACAAGGCCCAAUAUAAGUCCUCACCA